This 1922-nucleotide long non-coding RNA is filed under the name Homo sapiens (human). RNAcentral describes it as "non-protein coding TAPT1-AS1:2". The record is from RNAcentral. Lineage: Eukaryota; Metazoa; Chordata; Mammalia; Primates; Hominidae.
AUCUUCUUCCUGCCCUCGCCGUGGCGGGCGACGGUUUCUCGCGCCGUGGCUGGCUCGGCCGGCCGGGGCACCGCGCCGGGCUCCAUGCAGCCGGGCUGCGCGGUCCCGCAGAGCGGGCGCCUCCGGGGCUCGAGUCGGGGACCCGGCAGGAGCGGGCCGGGGAUGGCGGCGGCGGGCGGCGGGUCGGCCGUGGAGCCCCGGAGAGGCGGCCGCCACCACCGCUGCCCGCAGUCUGCGAGGUGUCCGGCGGUCCGCUCAGGGCCUCUUUUGCAGACUCGGUGCCCGGAGUGCGCCGGCGCCGCCCGCCAGGUCUUGGCACUGCUGGCGCGGCCGCGGCGGCGGGGGCCCGGCUCCAGAUCACCGACCCCCACGAGCGCCGGCCCUGCCUGCCCGCUAUUUUGGUUCCAUCUCUUCUGCAUAUUUAUGCUUGCCUGUUACAUUCCCUGGCCUCUGAGUGUCCUUUGGCAGUUUCCAAAGCAUUUGGGCAAGAAGGAGCUUGGGCAGCUUCACAACAGGUGGGGACGCGCAGGGGAGGGGCCGCGGCCGGACCGGCAGAGUUUCAAGGGCUGGCGCGCCGGCGGACUUUCCACACUGUCUUUCGGGACUGGGGUUAGGAGACAGCCCUUGGCCACCACUGUGUCCUUACUUUGUCGCUUUACUUGGGGCUGGACCUCCCCUUUCCAGCUCUGGCGUGUGACCCCGCAACGAGCGUGGUGUCGAGACCACCACCAGCUGGGGCGGUGGGAGCGAAGGUGCCCCAGGCUCGGGGAAGGUGGAAACCUUUUCCCCGCUCCCCAAGUGAUUGUUGCGCGCUCCGGUGAGGGGACAGUGGUACCUCGAUUUCCCGUGUGCCAGCUUCGGGACUCAGCUGUGCUUUUGUGUCUCUUUGAUUAGCAAAAGCAAAACGAAUUCCUCCCCGAACACUAAGCUUCCUGGAAACUUCCCUAGACCUAAACUUGAGAACCGCAUAUAAAUGGGCCUUGAGGGUUCUGUCGUCAGUAGCGGGUUACGUGAUUGCAAACGAGCAAGUUUAAAACGGAGUGGGCUUUGGGCUGCAGAGCCGCCUGGCAUUCUGACAGCUGAGCAGGAGGCAGAGGUGAGAGUCCAAGAUGGACUAAAAAUGUCCCAGCAGCUGGGAGCCCAACCUCGGCCCAACCUCGUUGAAAGGAGGAACAUUCGGUGCAGCCGUCGGAACCUUAUUAUUUAUGAAAGGGGACAGCUCACAGGAUUACAUUUUUCUAAGCCAAUCCUGUGACCAUCCUCCAUGAAAUUCUCUAUUUUGGUUGCAUGUGGUCAAAACUGAGCCUCACUGAAACAAUUGAAAACAAAUACUCCCGACAAAUCUUAAGAAUCGUUUUGAAAAUCAAAAGGUGGGGAAAAUGUUGUGGCUUCUGAGCUUUCUUCAGCCCAUAUUCUAUUAUUCUCUGAUGUUUUAUGGUGUAAAAUCAUACCCAUUCCAUUAUGUAUUGAUUGUCAAGAAGGAAGUAGGCUUUUAUUGCUAUUUUUAUGUCAGUUUCCAUUUACUGUCUCACCACAUUUAUUGGGUUAUUGCCUUUGCCUUUGACUCAACAGGAGCUGGAAGGGUAGGAAUCCCAAAUUCUGUUGCCUAAGGCAGCCAGUUGUCAGAAUGGACUUUCCUCAUUUUCUAUUAUGAGGCCUGAGGAAAGACAUUCAGUUCCAAAGGCUGUGCCUAUCCUUUUAAAUAGAAGAGAGAGGGCCCGGCACGGUGGCUCACGCCUGUAAUCCCAGCAGUUUGGGAGGCCGAAGGGGGCGAAUCACGAGGUCAGGAGUUCCAGACCAGCCUGGCCAACAUAGUGAAACCCCGUGUCUACUAAAGAUACAAAUAUUAGCCGGGCGUAAUGGCGGGCGCCUGUAUUCCCAGCUACUCGGGAGGCUGAGGCAGGAGAAUGGCUUGAAUCCGG